This 253-nucleotide ribosomal RNA is filed under the name uncultured bacterium. Its description in RNAcentral is "partial 16S ribosomal RNA". It matches the Rfam family "Bacterial small subunit ribosomal RNA", at positions 524 to 776 of the family's 1533-position model. The record is from RNAcentral.
UACGGAGGGUGCGAGCGUUGUCCGGAAUCACUGGGCGUAAAGGGCGCGUAGGCGGCUGGGGAAGUCGGCGGGGAAAGCCCGGAGCUCAACUCCGGGUCGGCCGUCGAGACUCCUCGGCUCGAGCUCACUAGAGGCAGAUGGAAUUCCGGGUGUAGCGGUGGAAUGCGUAGAGAUCCGGAAGAACACCGGUGGCGAAGGCGGUCUGCUGGGGUGAGGCUGACGCUGAUGCGCGACAGCGUGGGGAGCAAACAGG